AUGGUGUAGUUCAGUGGUACAGUGCAUGCUUUGUGUGUUUGGUGUCCUGGGUUCAAUCCCCAGCUACUCUC
Molecule: non-coding RNA, 71 nt
Organism: Dallia pectoralis (Alaska blackfish)
Lineage: Eukaryota; Metazoa; Chordata; Actinopteri; Esociformes; Umbridae
Source: the annotation of a GenBank genome assembly